GGACUAAAACAACCACAUGGUCACAGGACGCUGAGCCAAGAGCAGAGGCAGAGGGAGAGAUGAGCAGAGUCAAAGAGCUGCUGUAGGUGGUCAGCUCUGCAGAGAGUCUAGAUGGUCCAGUUUCAGCUUCAGGUGUCAGCUUAGAGUGGCUGUGCUUGGUGUUCAUGGGCAGGAGCAACCUCUCUGCUGAAGCCUGAUGAGACAGGAAUCUGGAGAUUCUUCACUAUGUCAGUCUCCCUGGGCACACCUUGAGAUGAAACACCAGGUAACUGAUGAGGUCAGGGUCCCACCAUGUCCAGUUUGGGAAGGCUCCUCCUUUUAUGGCUGUUAGGCGAGGGGGUUGCAUCUGGUAAGGUUGAUUAGCUGUGGUGUCUGGUGUUCCUGAUAUGAUUUGGGAAUUUAAUUUCUUAAUUUAAUUUGAUAAAUUCAUGGGUAUAAGUUUUUUAUCAAUUUGUGCCUUAUGGUGGUGCUAGGCAGAUGGUGGUUGUUUAAUUAUAUAAACAGGUGUAGAAUCGUCCCACCUUGGCACAUGUACUCAAAAUGGAGUAGCUUGUGGCAAAUUUUUGUUUAAUAAAAUGGAAUAACUCAGAUUUAGGCAUAGUCUGAAAACUGUUGUUCUAUAUAUGAUAGAGUCACUCACAGCACGUACAGCCUGAGAGCUACGGACCAUGGAGAUAUUCAGAAUAGGCACAGCCUAGGAACUGCUCUUCUUCAUAUCAUGGAAUCACUCAGGGCAGGCACAGCCUGGGAACUACUCUUCUUCAUAUCAUGGAGUCACCAAGGCAGGCACAGCUUGGGAACUGCUGUUCUACACACCAUGGGGUUACUCAGGGCAGGCACAGCCUGAGAACUGAUUUCUUUCUACACACCAUGGAGUCACUAGGGCAGGCACAGCCUGAGAGCUGCUGUUCUACACACCAUGGAAUCACUCAGGGCAGGCACAGCCUGGGAACUACUCUUCUUCAUAUCAUGGAGUCACCAAGGCAGGCACAGCUUGGGAAAUGCUGUUCUACACACCAUGGGGUCACUCAGAGUAGACGCAGCCUGGAAUUGCUGUUCUGUACACUAUGGAGUUACUCUGAGCAGGGCCUGGGCUUCUUCCACACCAUUUUGUUGUAUAUUAUUCUGCGCUUUCUUGUUUGUUUCAUGUACUCUGAUUCUAUAAGCAGCACUCCUGCAGGUGACCAGGCAGCAAGCACAACACUGUGCUAGAUGAUUUGAACAGAGGGCACUGACAUUUGGUGACAGGUGCAGCCUCCUGGGCCACAAGACCCAUCCUGACCUACCUGCUUCUGCCUCUAGAGCUCCUGAUUCCUGUGGUGUGUUUCCCUCAGCCUUGCAGAGCAGUGUGUGACCCUUUAGGUUUAGCCCGCUGUGGCUUUGCUGGGCCUGAACAGACGUGCAUUGGACAUUGAGCUUCCUUCUAGGCACAGUGCCACAUAGCAUAUGAGGGAAUGGAUACUGUGAUUUUUAUUCAACUAAAAGGAAACUGACAUUCAGGCUUCUGGGGUCUGGGGCCUGGUGAGGGGCUCCUCAGGUCUUUCCUCUGUCCACUUUUCACAGGGAGUCCAGCCACCGCCUGGUGAGAUUCUUUUUCCAAACAUGGGCAAGCUGAGGGCACUGGAAGGACACAACUUCUCCACCAUCCUCCUCCCUGAACCAGAACCCUGCAGGAGAGUCUGAACCCCUCUCCUUGCAUUGGGGUGUCCAAGGACUCCAUCAACUCCAAACAUCAAGGUAAAGAUGUUCUCCACCCCUGUGUGCUCACAGCUGAUGGCCCAGCAAGGGGCAUGCUGACCCUCACAAAGUCAGGCAAGAGGCUUGCUGGCCCAACAGCUGUGAGUCCCAACUCCACUGUGGCUCGACAAAAUGUGCACCCCCAAGACCCCAGUGUUCUGGAGAAGCUAUUUACAUGACUGUAAGCCCCAAGUGACCUUAAAUUCUAAAUAAAAGUUCCACAGGCAAUUUGUAUAAGAGGCUUGUUUUUAAAGAAAAUAAAUUACAUGACAGGAUUAUUGUAUGUAUUACAAGCUGGCCAGAGAACACUUUACUCAACAUUUAAAAAUCUUUAAAUAAGAGCUUUCAGUACAUAGAGCUUAUAUAACAAGAUCUCGCAAAAAUCUGUAAAACCUAAACACAGUUCUGAGAGCAACGAUCGUUCCAGAGCCGGCACUCAGCUCCCAGGGCAGCAAUGCCGGCACACAGGCUGCAGCCUUGCCUUGUGCUGCCUCAGGACAGUUCGGAGAACUUGCAAAGCUGUGCUGCCCUGGAAGGUGGCCAGGGCAUCUGCUAAGGCUCGGUGUCAACAAGGCCCCGCUUGUGCAUCUAAACUCAGCCAGAAUCGAAGCCUGGUGGCUCCACUCCUCGGCCUUUGCGUGGACCUUUUGUCUGGAGCAUGGCUCCACAUGUUCUUUCUGAAUCUCGUACUUUUACCCAUGGGAGAAAUAGGCAGCCAGAGGCUGAGGGUGCUGAUCUGAUCUUCAGAGGAGUCAGGGAGCCUCCACCUCAUUCUUACCCAGCUGGGGCUUGUUAAGUGCACAUACAUUCGAAACCACAGUCUUUGAUAAUCCAACCUGCCCUGGACACUCGGCUGAAAGCUUUUUAGAGGGGGUCGCAGAAUUUCAACUUGUUUUAUUUUUACGCAUUUCCCAAGCAGAUCAUCUUAAAGAUCAAGAGGACUUUGUCCCAUUCAGUGAAGAACUUACAGCAGUGGGACAAUGGUGGGAUGUCUGAGCACAGCUCCGAAGGGUGCCCGGGGAAGCAUGGUGAGGAGCACCAGGUCCAGGGAAAACACAGCAGGGCUCUGCACGCUGAAGCAGAGCCAACCUCAGGGGCAACUCCCCCUUCACUGGCCAGGAGGCCUCAAUAUGUUUGGAUGCAGGAGGCGCCAGGCAUGGAAAGUCCUCUGCCAGUGUGAGUCCAGCCAGGCAGCUGCUGGAGGGCACUGUGCAAGGACCCAUGCCCUCUCUGACACGAGGUGCACAGUCUAAGCAGGAGGUUCUCAGUGGGCUUAGCACAGCCUCAGUGGGAUGCACAGACAGGAGGCCAUGCUCACUGUCUCUGAGCUUGCUGAGGGGAGCCAUUCCUCUAUCCUCAAGACAUUAAUAUUCGGGCGGGCAUUCAGGGACAAGUGUAGGGAAGCCAUUCCCAGGCACCUACUCCAUCUGCGCACUGCACACUUUCUUUCUUUCUCUCCUGAAGCUGUUCUCUCACUUCCUGGAGCUACACGCAGAAAGGAAAGGUAAAUUAUUAUGGUUUGGAUGUGAAGUGUCCCCCAAAAGCUCCUAUGUGAGACAAUGCAAGAAAGUUCAGGGAAGAAAUGAUUGGAUGGUAAAAGUCUUAACCAAAUCAGCGACUCCAUCCCCUGAUGAGAUUAACUGAGUGGUGAUUGAAGUGGUGGGGUGUGGCUGGAGGAGGUGGAAUUAGGGAGUGGCUUUGGGUAUAUAUUUGCAUCUGGAGAGUGGAGUCUCUCUGCUUCCUGAUCACUGGAUUGUGGGCUGCUUCCCUCUGCCACAUACUCCUCCGUAACAUUCAGCCUCAUCUCGAGCCCUGAGAAAUGAAGCUGGCCUUCUACGGACUGAGACCUCUGAAACUGUGAGCCCUCAAAUAAACUCUUUCUUUUCUAUAGUUGUUCUGGUCAGAUCCUUUAGUCACAAUAGGGGAGAAGCUGACUAAAACAGAGAUCAUUUGUGCACGGGCCAUAGGCGUCCUAUAGGGCUUGGCUGGGCUCAGCAGCACUGGGUCGCUAGCAUGCAGUGGCAUGCAGCCCCAGGCAAGACAUUAAGGCCCCAGCAGAAGCCAGGCACACACCACCAGUGCCAGGCUACCUGUAUACCCUUGGCUUGUGUGUGCACACAUGCAUGUGUGUAUGAGUGUGUGCACAUUCAUUCGAGGGUAUGUGUGUAUGAGUAUGUGAGUGUAUGAGUGUGUCAUGUGAGACAGUGUGAAGGCAUGCACAAGUUAUUACAUGCAUAUAUGUGCAUGUGAGUGUAUGUUUAUGUGAGAGUGUGAAUGUGUGUGCAAGUGUGUAAUGUUCACACAAGAAUGUACAUGAGUGUGUGAGUGUGCAUGUGGGUAUGUGUUCAUGUGAGAGUGUGGAGAGUCUGUGUGUGUGUGUGUGUGUGUGUGUGUGGUCCACUUGCUGGUCUCCAGAAGUGUCCUCAGAAGCAGGCCUUUCCCUGGCUGUGUGUGGUGUAUGUGGCGUAAAUUCACUUCAGCUUCUGAGCAUGAACCCGCAUGGUCUUCAGGCCUCACCUUCAUGACUUUCCUUCACAUCUGGAAGAUUUCAAGUUUUUCUUUCUUGGAUGAGAUGUUCCUCGGGCCAGCUGGAGACUGUCUAUGUGGUGUUCUCCAGUUCCAUGGCUCCAUGACUUCUCCCCACGUGGAUAAGCCUUGUAUUUGCGUUGUCGCCUCCUUCACCUCUGCCUACCUGCCACCCUUUCAGCCACUCUCUUCCUGCUGCCUCUGCCUCAGGAACCCCCAUGGCUGGGUCCCCUUGGCUCUGGAGUAACUGAAGCUGAGCUCUGGGUCCAGGUGAUCUGGUCCUGGCUCUUUCUCCACCAGGCAUCCAAAGUAGAGUUCAAGCAAGUAGUUUCAUUUAUUUGGUCUUAGAUUUCUUGAGAGCUUGUUUGGAGGUUCUAGCAGGGGAGCGCAGCUACUCGUAUACCCUUGACCGAAGAACGGUCCUCCUCUAUUGGGGAAGGUCGUCCUCUUCGACCGAGCGCGCAGCUUCGGGAAGGACGCACAUGGAGCGGUGAGGGAGGAAGGGGACACCCGCCUAGCCAGCCAGAUCAGCCGAAUCAACCCUGGCGAUCAAUGGGGUGACAGAUGUCGCAGCCAGAUCGCCCUCACAUCCAGGUCUUAGAUUUCUUAACAAUUUUAUUUUUCUGAUUUAUAAUUAUAGAAUUGCUUAAAAAUCAAACAAAAUAAGGUAUCUCGAUGUGUCUCACAACCCCUAAAGCCCAAUAAAUGCACAAUGUCUUGCUAUUAAAAUAAAACCCAAUAUUUUGCUACUGGGAAGAACGCAGAAUGGCCUGCCAUUAUUACGUAAUUACAAAAUCUCCCACUGCUUGCUUCUUCCUUGGUUGCUACCAGAUUUUGAGUCAAUUCUGUUUUUUUUUUAUUUUUCAAAAACUCUUGAACAUGUGGACCUGCUGAUUUUGAAUCCAUUGCUGAUCUUUGGCUCUCAGAAUACUUCAUCCUAACAAUUAAAACAUAGCAAAAUGUUGCACUUGUGUCCAUAAGUGAACUGUCAUGCAAAGCAUGCUUAUUUCUGAGGCUGUUGGUUCUCCCAGUGGGUCCAUCUCAGCCUUGUUCUCUUAAACAUUUGGUGUCCUCUUGGUGGCUGAGUUGGCAGUGAUAUAGUAAUAGAGGAUAGAGUCUGCCUGUGAGUUCAAAGCUUCUCUCAAGGUUCUGUCUGGGGGUUGAUUUCCCAGAUACGGUGAGUGAUGUAUUUGUCCUGGAUGGCUCGCUCCUGUGGAGCAGGGCUUUCCUCCUCAGGGGAGGAGGGGACUUGACUGUGAGUGUGGAACUCCACUGCAGGCUGGGGUGGCUAAUGGGGACAGGUGAGGUAGGACUGUUCAAGAGGCAGGCAGGAAUGCCGGCUUGGGGUCAAGUGCUCCCACACUGCCUGCCCUUGCAUCCCUGUGCCAGGGAGGCCCCUUCCUCUGCAGCAUUAGUUACAAGUCACCUUCCAGCCCUGCUUGCCACUCUCCCACCUGCUGAUGGCCAGACCACAUGGUGUGGUUCUCGGGAGAGGAGGGAGAUGCCAUUGGUCUGCCAUGUUUGACUUGGGAAGAUUUCACCUAAAAAUGUCAAAUUUGGGAGAGGGUUUAAAAAUAUCCAGUAACCUAAUCAUUGGGGUUUUAUUUAUCUAUUAUUUUAUUUAUUAAUUAUUUACCAGUGCAUACUGGGGAUGGAACCCAGGGUCUCAUGCCUGGUAGGCAAGUGCUCUACUACUUAGGUGCCCCUAUUGCCCCAUCUGAAUAUCUUAAGGUUCCAGACUCUUGAAAGAGGUGAUAGAGGCAUAAUUAAUUAUUUUGCUUCUGCUUUGUUUAAACAUAUUAUGCCGAGUUUUUGUGGUAAUAGUCACACUCAAAAAGUACAGAUCAGAUUUUGUGAUGGGUUUUUUGAAGAAACAUAUUAAUUACUCUUCAAUAUCUCAAGGUUGUGACCACAUUUUAUUUGAGAUAAAAUGCAUUGUUUCUCUACAUAAAUUAAGAUAUUGCACUGUGAAAACCAAUUUAUUAUUUGGGGGUUCUUAUAUCUUUGUUGGUAUUCUUUAACUUCUUAUUCAAGAAAAAAAAAUGACUUGACAUUUGACCUUCUACUCCUGUUCCGCACCUCACUGGGUCUGGGAGGAAUGGGCUCCUUUGUUACAGAAAGGAAGGGAGAAAGUCGCAGGUUCUGCUGGGGCCCUGUUUUGGGAAGAACAAAGAGGGUCACAAGUUUUUUGGUUUUUUUUGUGUGUGUGGUCAGAAUUUUUAUUCUAUACACAAGCUUCUCUCUGGUACUGAGCAUCCCUCCUGCUGUGGGUUCCUCUGCAAAGGCUGACUAAUUAUGACUGCCAGUGUCCAGGGCUAGUGCGCACCUUGUCUCUCAUCCCUCCCUGCUGUGUUGUACAUGUGAUUCCAGAGGUGCUGUGACGCAGAGAAAAGCCCACAUAAAUACAAUCACCCGAUGUCAGACAGAGGUGUCAAAACAAACUUGGAGAAAAGAUAGCCUUAAACAAAAGGUGCUGGGAAAACUGGAAAUCCACAAGAAGAAGAAUGGAAGUUGACUUCUACCUCUCACCCUGCACAAAAGUCAACUCAAAGUGGAUCAAAGACCUCAGAAUUAGACUAGAAACUCUGUACCUGCUAGAAGAAAACUUAGGCCCAAUACUGCAUCAGGUUGGCACAGGAAUUGACUUCCUUAACAAGAUUCCAAAGUACAAGGAAUAAAACCAGAAAUCAGUAAGUGGGAAGGCAUCAAAUUAAAAAGCUUCCAAACAGCAAAAGAAUCAAGUAAGAGCUUGAAGAGAGAGCCAGCAAUAUGGGAGGAGAUCUUUGCCACCUGCUCCUCGGAUAGGGCAUUAGUAUCUAGAAUAUAUGAAGCCUGACAGCAGCAGCAGCAGCAACAAAAACCAAAUAACCCCAUCAGUACGUGGGCGAAAGAACUAAACAGACAUUUCUUAAAAGGAGAAAAACAAUUGGACAACAAAUAUAUGAAAAAAAAAUGUUCAGCAUCUCUAGCAAUCUGGGGGCUUGUGAAAAUAAGCGCAGCUGUUCUUUCCUGGUCACCCUGGCCCCAGCGGCUGCCACCUGAGCUUCCCACAGUCGCCUGGCGCCCUCUGGUGGUAUGAAUUCCACACUGCAACGCCUCCGCCACGAAGUCCCUGUGUGCGCUCCAUCUCCAAAUCCCCUUCCAGAUAGGUAGAUUCUCAGGCAAAGGAAGAUUACUGUUCAGAGAUUUUAUGCCUGUGAAGUUCUCUGAGCCAACAGCUUUCAAAUGAGUUGAGGAAAUUCCAAGGAACUUCAGAUCCUAUAAAUGUCCUAUUUGAAUUUAGUUAUAGUAAGGACUGUGGCUUCUUGUUCUUGGGCACGAGUUUUAAUACAUGUCACAAUUGAUAAACUGCACUUGCUGUGAUGAAGUCUCCUCUGUUCUUCUGAAGAGGAUCACUAUAUUAGUAAUGAGCUUUCUUUUGGUGUCUCAGGAUCCAGAACAGCCAAGGCUCAGCCAUUAGCUGCUCUGUGGCAUUCAGAUGAAGGGAGGCCUUGCUUCCUUCUCUUUGCAAGGCCUCUUGUCUCUGCAGAGCUCCCUCAGGUUAAGAUGUGGAAAAUGCCCCUCCACUGAGGGACAUCUCUGGGGCUGGUAUGGCCAGCCCAUUGUCCCUCCUGGCUCCCUCCUGCCAUGGCUGCCAAGUGCUGGUUCUUCACAAUGAGGGGGAUGGGGCUGUUAGUCCAGCUUAACCCCAUAGAUAAUUCUAGAUCUCCCUGGAAAAGAUCUUGUUGUAAGUUGUCAAGGCAAAUGCUUUCUUUUCCCCUGUGGCCCUUAAAGACUGUAGUGAGUUUGUGUGUGCUGCGCGUGUGCUUGUGCAUGUGCCUAUGUUAGAUUCCUGAUCUACAGAAACCUGCCUUGGCCUUCAUAAAUGAAGAACAAAUGGGGAAGGUAGUGCUUUCUUCUUCCCUGGCAUAUCCAGAGUGCACAUCAUAAAUAUGUGAGCUGAUUAUUUCUCUAGUAACUCAGCCUGCAACACGCAGACUUAAAAGUCAUAACAAUGCAUUUAAGGUCAUGCCAGGCAAGUGCAUUGUAAAUGUGUCAUCAAUGAAAUAAUGACACGGACCACCCAUACCUGUCUCCCUGCAUGCCAUGAGAGGAGCUCUAUGUACACAUUGUCCCUCUGUGCCCCUGAACAGAACACAGUUCACAGUGGGGAAUGACUCAUGCCUGCAGCCCCCUCAUGGACACUCACAGGAUGCACCCUGCUGAUAGGCACACUGCGGGUGCAGUCGGAGGUGAACAGGCUUCUGCUCAGGCCUGUGCAUCUGGGUAUCACCAUCCAGUUGGCCACAAAAUUGUGCUUCUUUUCUGUCUGAUGUGUUUAUAUUAAGGUCAGUGUUAGAUGUUUGUAGUCAUUUAGUUUUAGGACAUAACAAACUUAUCUAGAAUUUUCCAAAAGAAAUAGCAGGAAAUUUUAAAGGACAUCUUGAGAUACAAGUCAGGAUGUGCCCUUUGGAACUGCCCACCUGCACUCCUCAGGGUAUACCAGCAGCAAAGUAUUAAGGAAAAUGGGGAAGAGAAGUGAAAGCAGCUACAUGGAACUGCAGCCAUCACUCAUUUGGUUAUUUCCUGUAAAACAACUAUAGCAUAUAAAUUGGUCACUUAUGUUUUAUAAUGUUUCUUAUAAACUUUAAUUUACCAAAGAAGAAAAGGUUUUGCUGUUAAGACAGCUUUAGAGGUAGACAUAGCCUAGCUCUUCUGUGGCCAUAGGUAGCACCUUGAGGCUCCUGAAGACUGCGGAUGCAUCCAGUUGCAUGUGAGCACAGCUGAAUGUCACUCAUGGUCCAGAAUGCCUCUGGACAAUGCUCGCUGAAUUAUUGAGUCCAUUUUUUAUUUUUUAUUUUUUUUUAUUUUUUUUAUUUUUUGAGUCCAUUUUUUAAACAGGCACAUACUAGUCCCAAAGUAUCUCAGCCCAUGGAAGAUGGGAAGCGAGGUCUUGCAGGCGAGGACCUGGAUUCUAACUCUCUGAGGUGGAUUAUAACUCUCCCCUCUUGGCUCAUUAGAAGUAGAGUGGCCUCCCUGCUGCAGGACUUCAGCAGGAGCCCCCUGCCAUUGCAGCAGGCAUCCUAGUUGGAUUCCAAAUGUGUUUGGAGCAGAGGGUGAAGACCAUCCUAUGUCACAAAACCUUUGCUUUUCAAGGAAAAACACAGAUUGAGUCCAGAAUUAGUCAUACUGCUGAAAUUUUAAGUGGCUCUGGAGAAUGCUCAACUCUGAGAGGUCCAAGGAGCUCAGGUGGGACCUGCAGUCUUGUGCUCUGCUGGCUGAACUGAGCCCCAGUGAAGCACCAGGGCAUGCAGGAAGGCGGAUAGGGACCACAUAACCAUUUGCACCACUGCUCAGUUGUAAGGGAUGAGAACUUGUUAUUUAAGUAACAUUCUGAAAUGAGCCUGAGAGAGCUGAUAAAUCCUGCAUAUCUAGAGCAUUCCUCCAUCCCCAUUCAGGAAGCACAUGAUAAAGAAAGGUAAAUGGAAGGUGUUUUCUCUUAUUCGCUGAACUUUGGUAGGGCUAGCUUGCACAUUCUAUGGGCUAGAGUCUGCACGACAUCAUGGGUCCACCAUCACAUUGUGAUCUCACAGAGCAGUGCCACUGCACAAAAGCCCCAGUCUCCAGCCCCCUCUCUCCCUGGCAACCACAGAUUUGUCACUUUCAAAACUUUUAUAGUUGGAACCACACUAUGUGUGACCUCUUCAGACUGGUUCUUUCACUGAACAUAUACAUUUGGUUUCCUUGUGUCUUGAUGGCUCACUUCUUAAUUGCUGAAUAAUACUCCACUAUCUGGAGGUAUCAGAGUUGUCUAUUCCACUGCUGAAGCACAUCUUGGUUGCCUUCAGUUUGGGGCAAUUACGACUAACCAUUCCUGAAAGGAUCUGCCGUGUGUUGAAUGGAAGCAUGUCCACAUUGACAAUAAGUUGCAAUCCCCACAGGAUUGGUAUGGGUUAUGAUGGGUCUUCUCAAGCCUGAAUGAGCAUCAGACUGGCUCUGACUCUUGCUGGGUGGGACAUUAAAAAUUUAAUGAAGAAAUUCUUUUCUGAGAUUAUAACAAGGACUAAAAAUAUCUAAUUCUCAUUUCAGCAAAGAGGAUAUACUGUGACCCUUCAGUCAGUCCCUCCUUCAACUCAAAGGGUAUUUAUCAAGCACUGCUCUUUGGAACUUAAAGAGGAGGCACUACUUCUGCAUCCAGAGAAAUACCUUCCGAUGUCCAAAAGGGUUUCUGGUUUGGAACCCACAUCAAUGUUUCUGAUGCCUAAAGAGACAGCCCAUGUGGAAUUAAGGAAAUAGCUGCUUUGAAUUGAUUCUAAGAAUCAUCCUUGGAACUGGGGUGCACACCAACGUGAAAUAAUGAAGGGCCACAGUACUUAGCCAACUUUAGGAGGGCAUCGCCUUUAGAUGACACACUGCAUACCACCCUGCAUGGCUCUAGGCACCUGCAACCUACCACAUUCAGGUCCAAGUAAAUGGCUUUUCUUAAAGUUGGGAAAUAUUCCGGUGUUAGAUCUCCGAACUGCAAAUUUUUGUUCUACAGUUGGAUGGCUUCUAUCCAGACACAGAAGUUUUCCUGGUACUAAGACCUGCAAGAGGCUUCACAUGCAGUUUCCAUACAGCAAAUCCCAUAAAGCCAGCAUCAGCAGAGGGCGUGCACAAGUGCUACACAGCUUUUUAUUUCCACAAGAUGCAGAAUGUGAAGAUCAGUAACUGGAGCGGGAGUUUCCUUAGAACUUGCUCAAGGUCAGCAAGUUACCAUGUCUCAUCUGAACCUUCAUAGGAGGACAGCACAGCCUGUGAGUUCAGGAUGAAUGUCCCUCCAGUGAAUUGAGCUGCCUUCCUCCAGCACAAGCCUGCUGGUUAGAUUUUUACCCUCAGGAGCCACAGAUGAUGUGUGCAUGUGACUUCCCCACAUGGCUACAAUUUGCCUCAGAUGGCUGUAUGUCCCCACCCUAUGGAGAAGGGUCAUUGCUCUAUGACUCUAAAAAGCCAGCCAUCUAGUGAUGUUGCCAAGCAUCAAUUUCAGUGGGGAAACAAUGAAACCAUAUUUCUGUCAUGGAAGUAGAAGCUUGAUUUGUUGAUAUGUAGCUCUUCUCAAAUUUACUGUACUAUUCAACAUCAUCAGUCAUAUUGGGGGGGGCAAUGCAUUAAAAGUGAAAAAUCAUUGUUCUAAAAUGCAUGAAAAUAUGGAAUAGGAAAUUUCAUCACAUCUGUAUAACCAGCAGGAUGAGGAUUCCCAAGGCAGCAAAAUCUACAGGAAAAACAGUGGUUUCCAAAUUUUCUUUGCAUUUAUCAUGGUGAAAAAAGAAAACCUAGUUUAAUGUCCUUUCACAAAUCAAAUUCUGAUUUGCUUCCUUUACUGUCCAAAGACCAUAACUAACAAAACACAUAAGAGCAUUUGAACCCCCAUCCAAUUUGUUAAAUAUUUUGGAAAGCCAAGGACUAAGUAAAGUAGCAGAUAUGUGGCCAGAGGAAUUUCAUUUUCAGAAUUCGUAUCCCACAAAUACGUAAA
Molecule: long non-coding RNA, 11755 nt
Filed under: Marmota monax (woodchuck)
Lineage: Eukaryota; Metazoa; Chordata; Mammalia; Rodentia; Sciuridae
Source: RNAcentral